Non-coding RNA from Brassica napus (rape), 125 nucleotides. The record is from Rfam. Lineage: Eukaryota; Viridiplantae; Streptophyta; Magnoliopsida; Brassicales; Brassicaceae.
GGAAGUUAAGAAACUGUUUUUUAAAUUUUAACUAAAAAACCUAAGAGCCGGUUCUUAAAUAAAGAUUUUAAGAACCGGUUCUUAACUUUUUUAGUUAAAAAUUAAAAAACAGUUUCUUAACUUAC